AGAGUUUGAUCAUGGCUCAGGACGAACGCUGGCGGCGUGCCUAACACAUGCAAGUCGAGCGAGUGAAUCUCCUUCGGGAGUGAAACUAGCGGCGGACGGGUGAGUAACACGUGGGCAACCUGCCUCAUAGAGGGGAAUAGCCUUUCGAAAGGAAGAUUAAUACCGCAUAAGAUUGUAGCUUCGCAUGAAGUAGCAAUUAAAGGAGUAAUCCGCUAUGAGAUGGGCCCGCGGCGCAUUAGCUAGUUGGUGAGGUAACGGCUCACCAAGGCGACGAUGCGUAGCCGACCUGAGAGGGUGAUCGGCCACAUUGGGACUGAGACACGGCCCAGACUCCGUACGGGAGGCA
RNAcentral lists this ribosomal RNA (346 nucleotides) under uncultured bacterium. RNAcentral's name for it is "bacterial SSU rRNA". It matches the Rfam family "Bacterial small subunit ribosomal RNA", at positions 8 to 350 of the family's 1533-position model. The record is from RNAcentral.